AAGCACCCACCUCACCGGCACCUCCCACCGUCACCACACGCGCGCCCCUUGCCCGCCGACCCCAGCCGGUUGCAGGGGGCUGGGGCCGGUGCCGCCGCAACCCCGUUACCCCGCGCGUGGCGGCGGGGGGCAGGGAAGGGAAGGCAGGGCGCUUAUGCGAGGCGCGGGGAGGGGGGGGGGAAGACUGCAGAAAAGAUCAGCACGGCUUCUGAACAACCCUGCACAUCCGUGAAGAAAUGCUGCUUGAUGAAGCUCCAAGAAAUGACCUUGCAGCAGGGGCAAGCCUCUCCAGCCUGCGAGAACAGUGCUGCCGUGACUCCGUAAUGUUCCAAGGGUGGCAGCCACAAAGAGCAGUUUGUCGAUGCUGUUUGCAAUGUACCACUGACUAGGUGGCUGAACCGGCGUCUCUGCAGUGCUGUAUGUUUAAUCCUCAGUAGAUGGCACUCAUCGUGCUGCUCUGCAAGUGCAGGUCCAUUUUAUACACAGAUCAUGGUUUUGGCAGGCAUUCUCAUAACAUGUCACAGAAAUAAAAGGCACCAAACAGGCAUGGUCAGUGCUGCCCAGGCCCAGAGAGGAGCUCACUCAGCCCCGUGAACUGGCUGAAAGCACGGAAGCACAAGCAGGAUACAGGGGGUUAUCAGCUCAGUUAAACCCAAGGGCACCAGAAAAACUACCCUGCUGGUAUGCCCACAUCAAUUAGUGCUUUUAAUGUUAGUUUCUUAAAAUCCACAGAAAGAAUGCAGCAGCCCCCUGCUGCCAGUUGGCAGCUCCUCUUGUGGUUUUGAAACAGCAGCCCUUGAAACAGCAGCCAGUGAAAGAUCAGUUUAAAGCUUCACUUCUGCUGUGUGCCUCUCACCUGGUAUUGAUCUGCUUCUGGCACAGUGCAUGGCCAGUGAGCCACAGCCCCAGUGCAAAGUAGUGCUUUGGUAAGUGUGUUGUGUGGGGUUACGCAACAGACAAGGAGAACAAAUACGGAAGCUCCAUUGCCUUAGCCAAAGGAGCUAGUCCUGGAGAUUAGAGAAAAGAUCAUCUGGACCAAGCUUACAUCCCCUGAGAGCUCUGGUUAGGGUCUGUCAUGGAGAAGAAUACCUUCUGUGGGUUCAAUAUGAUUUUGCUUGAUCCUUAACUUCUUUUUGCCCAGCGUGGGGUUUCCCUGCCUGUUACAAGGCAUACCUGACAGUUGUCUACUUCAGCCUUUUAUCCUCCUUAGAGGAGAGCACCCAGAAUUCUCUUUCAUUGUGGAUGUGUCUUGGGCACAGAUCUGAGGUAACCUGGAGCAUCAUCUAAGUGGCAUGGUAAGCGCUGAAUCCCAGGCUGUGAUCCUCUGAACAUGGCACAGCUAGCACUCAUCCCUUAACAUCACCUCCAUUUGGUGGGUAGCACCUCUGCACCUUGGCUCACACCCAGCUGCAACUGGGAACCACGAGGUAGAUGUUUCUUCCCAGUCUUUCUUGAGCUUAUCUACUUCCAAGAGCAGGAUCAGUGCAGAAAGUAGCAGCUUGAAAAUGCCACUGGAAGAGGACAUGUUUUCUUACCUGUUGAGCAAUAGUUCAAUCAUUAUAGCACACACCUAGCAGUGGUGGUUAUCAAGGUAUGGUCCCUCCUUUGUCUUCAGGGCUAUGAAAUCCUAUCUUAUGGGAGACUGCCCCAAACACCGGUUUAGUACCUACCUCAAGAGCAAGGGGAUUACACAUUCACCCAUUGAAUUUGUCUCACUUGGUGCAAGAUGAAUUCAGGGUUCACUGGGCUAGGGAACGGGUGUGACAUGUCUCACCUUCAUGGUCAUUUUCCUGUAUAGGAGGAGAUGUCUGUCUUGAUCCCAGUCCCUGAGUGUGUUUAUAUAUUAUCCAGUGCCCGAUUCAUGUGAAAUAUCUAGAUGGGUGCUACUGAAGUUGCUGAAACACUGAUCUCUGCUUUCCAAGAUAAACACUUAGCUGGAGAACAGUCUUCCUUCCCUCUGGGCCACUUUAACUGCUGAGUACUUCUGUGUCACAGCAAGAGAGAAGUGCGCUGCUUUGGUACACAGAGCACACAAUUGAGAUACGUUCCUCUACAGGGAGCUGUAGUAGGAUUUUCAGUGCUCUGAAGCCUAGACUUGAAAUGUGGGUGGGCAAGGGAAAACAAGUGCUUUUGUGGUUUGUUUUUUCAAAAAACAUUUUUGUGGUUUCAAUAAAGUUGAGUUCUGUUGUUUCAGUUAA
Neopsephotus bourkii (Bourke's parrot) is the source of this 2198-nucleotide long non-coding RNA. RefSeq lists it as uncharacterized. Lineage: Eukaryota; Metazoa; Chordata; Aves; Psittaciformes; Psittacidae. The record is from RefSeq and is a predicted model, not a curated record. The transcript is spliced from 2 exons.